AUGCGCCUGGCCAUCCUCCCGUUGCUGGUGGUACACUUUAUCCUGAGAGACACCAGAGCUCAGUCAGUGACUCAGCCUGAUGCUCAAGUCACUGUCUCUAAAGACGCCUCUCUGCAGAUAAGAUGCAACUAUUCCUCCUCUGUGCCACCUCGCCUGUUCUGGUAUGUCCAGUACCCAUGGCAGGGGCUGCAGCUUCUUCUCAGCUACUACUCAGGAGACCCAGUGGUUCACGGCAUGAACGGUUUUGAGGCUGAGUUUAGCAAGAGGGACUCUUCCUUCCACCUGAGGAAAGCCCCUGUGCACUGGAGCGACUCGGCUGUGUACUUCUGUGCUCUGAGCGCACAGUGUCUGGGGCUGCAGGGGGAGUUGAACACAAACACCCAUGGCAGUGGGUGCUCAGACUCACGGUCUCUCUUUGUGGUCUUUGAAGCAUCUCUUUCUGUGGCUCUGCUUCUUUCUGGGAUGCCUGGACACCACCGGUAG
Molecule: non-coding RNA, 483 nt
Organism: Psammomys obesus (fat sand rat)
Lineage: Eukaryota; Metazoa; Chordata; Mammalia; Rodentia; Muridae
Source: the annotation of a RefSeq genome assembly